Molecule: long non-coding RNA, 172 nt
Organism: Anastrepha obliqua
Lineage: Eukaryota; Metazoa; Arthropoda; Insecta; Diptera; Tephritidae
Exons: 2
Source: RefSeq, a predicted model, not a curated record
AAAAAAGCGUAAAGAUUGUAAAUUGCGAAAUUUAUCACAAAACGUUAAUCCAAUAAUUUACUUCAUCAACGAACAAAGUAUUUGUCAAGCUCAUUCAAAAUCCUAAGGGCCUGGACAAUCAGAUCUAUAAUUAUUUCUCAUUUCUAUAGAAAUUGGUUAUAGAUUUUUUUUU